CCCCACGCCGUGAAGUCAUAAUCCUGUGUCUGUGACACCCUGUCGGUUGCUAUGGAAACGACUCGCUGUUAAACACUGGCGUUCUCAAUGAGGGUUGCAGGGGUUCCGAGGCGGACCUGGGGAGCAGAAACCCCUGUUUAGGGUGAACCGUGGCGGGCGCCGAUGGCCUCUUGGAAGAGGACAGACUAGCAGCUGCGAGGGAGAUGGGACUGGGUUUCACCCCUGAAAGGGCCCCUGGAGACAGCGGGGAAACUGACAGGGAGAUCAUGAUGUCGCCAUUUUGAUGGGGUCCCCAGAGGAGAGAUGUCCUCCCCAACGGCUCCUGGACAGGACUGGGGAAAGAGUUCAGAUAAGUAUCUCUGUGGUCUGGGCUGUCACCUUACAACUGCACAACUCUGGACCUCCAGCAUCAGAACCACUGGGGCCUAGGUUAAUAAUACAGAUUUUCAGGCUCCAAUUUGGACAGACGAAACUGAUCUCUGGGGUGGGACCCAGGAAUCUACGUGUAAACAAGCACCCAGGGGAGUUCUGCUCACUGAAAUUUGAGAAUCCCUGAUUUAGAAGGAGGACUAUGCUCUGUGCAUGUUCUCUGAAAUGUUGGGUCAAUCAGGACCUGUCUACUGAAACUGCUCCAACCAGCCAAGGUGCAGAGAAAAGAUGCGUGCAGGGCCGAAAACCAGGGUGCUCUGGAGGCAGGGAGCCCUCGAGAAUGUAAAGCCAGCAAGCUGUUACAGAGUGAUUUGCACAGAACAGACACUCAGUUGAUAUUUGUCAAUUUGCUGUGUUUAAGAACCUUGCUGAAUUAAUUUAAAAGGUAUUUUUAAAAGAAUGAAAUUGAGGAAAAAACCUUCAAGGUUCAGAAAAUGUGAAGUUCUCAUUUACUUGUUUAUGAAAUUGUUUUUGAGUCCAAUAAAGAUGCUCAGCUAAAAUGGUUUUUUUGUUUUAAAUCUCAGAAUUAAGUUUCUCUUAGUUUUGGGCAGUUCGGUCCAGCUACUUGCAAAAGACAGGCUUCCAUAUCUCCUGUAUGCAGCCCUGAAGGACCCAACAGAAGUAAAAUAGUUAUUUAAGGAAUGCAAAGGACUAGGGACAGGAUGCAGAUUAAAAUGUUUAAGAUGAUGUCUGCAGAUGAUGUUUGUAGAUGCUUAAGUUUGUUGAAUUCUUAGUCUUCCUCACAAAGCAGCUAAUUACUUUCAAGACUCUAGUGAGCCUCAAUUUACUCCAAUUUAUGAUUUCCAAUGGUUCUGCAUAAAACUGGGUUGCCGUUUUAUGAAAUUGUUUGCAUCUGCUUGACGUGGGCGCAAACUUCACAGUGAGGAGAUAAUGUGAGGGUUUUGCCUUCUUGCAAAACAACUUACAUAUAUAUGUGAAAAAACUGGGGUUGGGGUUUGAAUUAUGUGGACUGCCUGUGCGUAGUAAGCUCUCUGGUCAGUUACCUAUUUGGCUUUGUGUGGACACAGCUCUUAGGAGGGAGGGUGGUGGAAUUCCUGCUCAUUACCUAUAGUAUCUUGCAGGAGGGCUGCUGAACGCCGGAGCCUUACAACUGUUAAACUCAGGCAGAGCUCGGGAAAUGCUGCCCGGAUGGGUGACUGAUGGAGAGGGGCUACCACUCUUCCAGCUAAACUCCGCUCUGGUUGGGACCCAGCAAUUAUUUUCCAUAGCGAAGUGUUAAUAAAAUAUCUGUUACUCCCAACACAACCUCCUGGGGGAAGGGACCUGUCUGUCUGCUUCAACUUUGGAUCCUCAGUGCCCACAUCAGGAUACCUGGCCUGAGAGCAUCCGGUGACCCAGUUUUAGGUCUCAAGGUCACUGCCAAGAAAGAGAAGCUGCUAAAGUGACACCUCUGUGCACCCACAUGACUUAACACAAAAGUUAACAGGAGCUCUUCAAAAACAAGCCUCUCGAGUGUCUGUCUCCUGUUUUCCCUGAGGACAGCAUCAGUGGCAUCAGAUAGGGGUUGGGGCUGGGUGACCUGCUGGUCCUCAGCCAUCACUGUGGCCCAGAGGUCAUUUAAGCAGCUCUCUGCUUAGCAGACAGGCAGAGGGAAUAGAUGGAAGGUACAGGUAAACACUGCAUGUGGCCACCGCGAGGAUACCCCGGAGCCUGGGAAACAGACAGGGACGUCGUAAAACCAACACAUAAUGGACCAGUGCAGAGACAGGCAAAACCAGUCAGAAGAAAUAGGAUGGUGCCUAGCCCAGGGACACCUGACUUAAGAGAGGGUCCUGCCGGUAUUACCCUGGAGGAAGGAAUGCUGCACAGAGGCCGAGAGGAAUUUGAACAGACUGGCCUUGCUGGGUUUUUAUCUCUUUUUGUCCAAUCCCAUUUUGACACAGUUGUCCAUGCUCCAAUCAUGCUUAUCCAAUGAAGUUUCCAUAACAGGCCUGAGAGGACAGGGUUCAGGAGCUUCCGGACAGCUGAGCAGGUGGAGGUUCCUGGAGGGUGGUGUGCCAGGGAGGGUGUGGAAGCUCUGCCCCUUCCCCCAUACCUUGUCCUAUGCAUUCCUUUAUCUGCAUCCUUCAUUUUAUUUUAUUUUUUUUUGAGACGGAGUCUUGCUCUUGUCGUCCAGGCUGGAAUGCAGUGGUGCGCGA
This 2588-nucleotide long non-coding RNA is filed under the name Homo sapiens (human). RNAcentral's name for it is "HSALNT0290399". The record is from RNAcentral. Lineage: Eukaryota; Metazoa; Chordata; Mammalia; Primates; Hominidae.